GCACGGAGGCAAUGGCAAUAUCAUAGCCAAUGAGAUUAAUUCAAGGCAUGAUUAUUGCUUAUUGAAAACUUUUCUACUUAGCCUGAGAGUCAGUGUGGUGUAGUGGUUAAGAGCGGUAGUCUCGUAAUCUGGGGAACCAG
Podarcis raffonei (Aeolian wall lizard) is the source of this 140-nucleotide small nuclear RNA. RefSeq annotates it as U4 spliceosomal RNA. The record is from RefSeq and is a predicted model, not a curated record. The transcript has a single exon. NCBI's taxonomy places the organism in Eukaryota, Metazoa, Chordata, Lepidosauria, Squamata, Lacertidae.